UUGGUAUAGUUAAGUGUUGAACGUAAAUUCGAUGACGCGUUAUAGCCAAAGCUUAUCAUAUUUUUUAUCGUCAAAAGUUCCAGGAAACCUUUCGCCCGGGUCAUAAUUGCACGAGACGAUGUAUAAAAGGCUGAGUCGAAGAAGUGCAUUCAACAGACGUAAUCAGAAUGUCUUGGAAAGUAAUAACGAUAAUCUUAAUCUUUUGCACAGUUGCUCGAGCUGCCGGUUCAAAUGAAACCGAUUGCGAACCCGGAAAGGUAUGGCUACCUUGCGGAUCGGCUUGUCCAGCGGAUUGCCAAAAUCCCCUAAGAUUUUGUCUCAAGCAAUGCGUGCCAGGUUGUUUCUGCCCGUUUCCAUACCUAUGGAAUGAAAAGUUACAAAAAUGCGUGCCUUUCUUCUUCUGCGCAUUCACUGGUUUGACAUGGUGAAAAAAAUCCACGAUUCGUCAGCGCUACAUUUCCACUUGUAUUUCGAUUAAUCCAAGUCCAACUGUAACGAAAUAAUGAUCUUUAGUCACAAAUAAAUACAAAUAUUUCCCGACUGGCGUGUGUAUAACUCGUUGAAUUCACUUUUCAAAGUCGGACUUGAUAACGGAAGGUACGAACGUGCGACAAGUUAAUUUCACAUGGAAGUGCAGUUUUUUCGUACGAGGUCGUAUUUACUCGUAAUCAAGAAGGUGGGGUAUAUUGACUCAAUGUUUUCUUUUCAUCGUAGUAAAUUAAUUACGAUUCGGAGCAUACCCAUACCUCUUACGUACGGUAUGAAAAAUGGGUCAAGGUCACACACAUCGGCAAGGUUAAUUUUCCGAGGUAUUUAAAUGAUAGCGUGAAGAAAUUCGCGGAUCAUUCGUCGUAUCGAAUGACGGUGUGAGGAUGUCUAAAAUCGUAGUGCUGUUUCUGGUCGUUUGCUUGAUUUACGCAGUCCGUAAGUUGAUCGUAUUCUACUUUCUCAUUUCCCCAAAAAUACAGAAAUGAGUGAACUAAAGUAAUUGGACGAGAAAAAAAUUCGGAUUUUUUUGCAGGAGCCCAAUCGCCGUGCACCAUCGGAGAGGAAUACAGUAAUUGCGCACCAGCUUGUUACCCGACCUGCACGGAUCCGAGCCCCACCUGUAAAGAACCAAACUCGGUCAGUGAAUAGUCCCGAUCAAGAUUCUUUCGAUUUCUGUCACGUCUGAUUUUCAUUACAGAUAUUUCAGGGGUGCAAGAGAUCCUGCGUUUGUAAAUCUGGUCUCGUGAGGGACGAACGUUCGAAAAGAUGCGUUCGCCCAUCGCAGUGCUCGAUGGAAAAGGAUCGCCGGCUUACAAUUUGACAAUCGGAAUUUUGAAGAUCGGAAGCGAGUCGCGCGAUAUCGGAUCUCGCUUAAUUUUCAGCAACAAAUCAACGAGUGAACGUGCAACGCUCUACGACGCUACAUUUUCACCUGUUGA
This 1427-nucleotide unclassified non-coding RNA is filed under the name Athalia rosae (coleseed sawfly). RNAcentral describes it as "misc RNA ENSAEAG00005003377.1". Lineage: Eukaryota; Metazoa; Arthropoda; Insecta; Hymenoptera; Athaliidae. The record is from RNAcentral.